RNAcentral lists this ribosomal RNA (452 nucleotides) under uncultured organism. RNAcentral's name for it is "partial 16S ribosomal RNA". It matches the Rfam family "Bacterial small subunit ribosomal RNA", at positions 331 to 799 of the family's 1533-position model. The record is from RNAcentral.
GUACACUCCUACGGGAGGCAGCAGUGGGGAAUAUUGGACAAUGGGCGCAAGCCUGAUCCAGCCAUGCCGCGUGAGUGAUGAAGGCCCUAGGGUUGUAAAGCUCUUUCACCGGUGAAGAUAAUGACGGUAACCGGAGAAGAAGCCCCGGCUAACUUCGUGCCAGCAGCCGCGGUAAUACGAAGGGGGCUAGCGUUGUUCGGAUUUACUGGGCGUAAAGCGCACGUAGGCGGACUAUUAAGUCAGGGGUGAAAUCCCGGGGCUCAACCCCGGAACUGCCUUUGAUACUGGUAGUCUUGAGUGCGAGAGAGGGGAGUGGAAUUCCGAGUGUAGAGGUGAAAUUCGUAGAUAUUCGGAGGAACACCAGUGGCGAAGGCGGCUCACUGGCUCGAUACUGACGCUGAGGUGCGAAAGCGUGGGGAGCAAACAGGAUUAGAUACCCCUGUAGUCCCAUG